RNAcentral lists this long non-coding RNA (378 nucleotides) under Meleagris gallopavo (turkey). RNAcentral describes it as "lncRNA (ENSMGAG00000020924.1)". Lineage: Eukaryota; Metazoa; Chordata; Aves; Galliformes; Phasianidae. The record is from RNAcentral.
AUGGCUGCCCCAGUGCCGGCAGCAUUUGAAGAAGUGCAUCAACCUACAAUGUCUUGGCAAAUGUUCUGUUCACCGGAGUGUGGAGAAGUGAUUUACCCACAUCUGUGGGCCGAUAAAUGGCACAGAGACACCAGUGCCUUUGUCUACGUGAAGCUGUCUGGACUGAGAGGCAGAUGCUGCCCUGCAGAGACUGCUCCUGCCAUCAAGAUGACCAAUAUUUCAACAAACCCUCCAGUCCGGAAGUCAGCUCCAGCUACUGGGAUGGGGGAGAUGACAUCGCACUUCAGAUCAGAUCUAUGGGUUUUUGUGUGUGAAACAGCCCUGUCAGGUGGGAACAAAACAGGCACAAGGCUCCUGCAGGAGGAACAACAUCUCUGA